GAUGUACUCCUCCGUCUGAAAAUACUUGUCAUCAAAAUAAAUGUAUCUAUAACUAAUAUACAUCUAGAUACAUUUCCUUCUAUUCAUUUUAAUAACAAGUAUUUCCAAACGGAGGGAGUACUUC
This is a non-coding RNA of Triticum aestivum (bread wheat), 124 nucleotides long. Lineage: Eukaryota; Viridiplantae; Streptophyta; Magnoliopsida; Poales; Poaceae. The record is from Rfam.